This 248-nucleotide ribosomal RNA is filed under the name uncultured bacterium. RNAcentral's name for it is "partial 16S ribosomal RNA". It matches the Rfam family "Bacterial small subunit ribosomal RNA", at positions 524 to 771 of the family's 1533-position model. The record is from RNAcentral.
UACGAAGGGGGCUAGCGUUGCUCGGAAUCACUGGGCGUAAAGGGUGCGUAGGCGGGUCUUUUAAGUCAGGGGUGAAAUCCUAGAGCUCAACUCCAGAACUGCCUUUGAUACUGAGGAUCUUGAGUUCGGGAGAGGUGAGUGGAACUGCGAGUGUAGAGGUGAAAUUCGUAGAUAUUCGCAAGAACACCAGUGGCGAAGGCGGCCAACUGGCCCGAUACUACGCUGAGGCACGAAAGCGUGGGUAUCAA